RNAcentral lists this ribosomal RNA (253 nucleotides) under uncultured bacterium. RNAcentral's name for it is "partial 16S ribosomal RNA". It matches the Rfam family "Bacterial small subunit ribosomal RNA", at positions 524 to 776 of the family's 1533-position model. The record is from RNAcentral.
UACGAGGGGUGCAAGCGUUGCUCGGAAUUAUUGGGCGUAAAGGGUAGGUAGGUGGUCUCAUUUGUCCGGGGUGAAAGCCUUGGGCUUAACCCAAGAAGGGCCCCGGAAACGGUGAGACUAGAGUCCUGGAGAGGGUCGUGGAAUUCCCGGUGUAGCGGUGAAAUGCGUAGAGAUCGGGAGGAACACCAGAGGCGAAGGCGGCGACCUGGACAGGCACUGACACUCAACUACGAAAGCGUGGGGAGCAAACAGG